AACGAACGCUGGCGGCAGGCCUAACACAUGCAAGUCGAGCGAGGACUUCGGUUCUAGCGGCGGACGGGUGAGUAACGCGUGGGAAUGUGCCCUUCUCUACGGAAUAGCCCUGGGAAACUGGGAGUAAUACCGUAUACGCCCUAUUGGGGAAAGAUUUAUCGGAGAAGGAUCAGCCCGCGUUGGAUUAGGUAGUUGGUGGGGUAAUGGCCUACCAAGCCGACGAUCCAUAGCUGGUUUGAGAGGAUGAUCAGCCACACUGGGACUGAGACACGGCCCAGACUCCUACGGGAGGCAGCAGUGGGGAAUCUUAGACAAUGGGGGCAACCCUGAUCUAGCCAUGCCGCGUGAGUGAUGAAGGCCUUAGGGUUGUAAAGCUCUUUCAGCUGGGAAGAUAAUAACGGUACCAGCAGAAGAAGCCCCGGCUAACUCCGUG
This 433-nucleotide ribosomal RNA is filed under the name uncultured bacterium. RNAcentral's name for it is "partial 16S ribosomal RNA". It matches the Rfam family "Bacterial small subunit ribosomal RNA", at positions 29 to 507 of the family's 1533-position model. The record is from RNAcentral.